This 2742-nucleotide long non-coding RNA is filed under the name Homo sapiens (human). Its description in RNAcentral is "non-protein coding lnc-KRTAP9-2-1:1". Lineage: Eukaryota; Metazoa; Chordata; Mammalia; Primates; Hominidae. The record is from RNAcentral.
UUCCCAAAAGACUAGAGAAGUAUCAAAGACAAGUUCUGCUCAUUAAUCAAAACUUUGGGGUACCAUGUAUAAAAGGUUCAGAUUGAAUAACGUUAUCAAACUCUAGGAAACUCACCUCUGAACAGGAGUGCACCCUCCACCCCUGACGCCAUGACCCACUGCUGCUCCCCUUGCUGCCAGCCUACGACGUGCUGCAGGACCACCUGCUGUGUGUCCAGCUGCUGCCAGUCUUGUUGCCACCCCCCCAGUUGCUGCAACACAUCCUGCUGCCAACCUAGCUGCUGUGCACCCGUCUACCAGAGAACGUGCUACCAUUCCAUGUGUGUCUGCCUGCCUAGUUGCCUAGACCAGAUAUGUGGAUCCAGCUGCUGCCAGCCCUGCUGCCUGCUGCCCAGCCUACUGUGAGGCCACCUGCUGCAGGACCACUUGCUGCCAGUACACCUGUGUGACAAGCUGCUGCCAGUCUUCCUGCUGCAGCACACCCUGCUGCCAGCCCACCUGCUGUGGGUCCAGCUGUUACGGCCAAACUGGCAGUGGGUCCAGCUGCUGCCAGCCCAGCUUCUGUGCACCCAUCUACUACAGGAGAACUUGCUACCACCCCAUGUGUGUCUGCCUGACAGGUUGCCUAAACCAGAGCUAUGGAUCCAGCUGCUGCUAGCCCUGCUGCCAAUCAGCCUGUUGUGUGUCUAGGGGCUGCCAGCCUUGCAGUUAUUGAUCAACUUACCACAGAUUACUACCUGCAUAGAAUAAACUUCCAUCAUCAGACCAGCCAGGUAUCCAUUUAUUCUUUUUUUUUUUUUUUUUUUUUUUGAGACCCAGUUUCGCUCUUGUUGCCCAGGCUGGAGUGCAAUGGCAUGAUCUUAGCUCACCGCAACCUCCACCUCCUGGGUUCCAGCCAUUCCCCUGCCUCAGCCUCCCGAGUAGCUGAGAUUACAGGCAUACGCCAUCAUGCCCAGCUAAUUUUGUAUUUUUCGUAGAGAUGGGGUUUCUCCAUGUUGGUCAGGCUGGUCUCAAACACCUGACCUCAGAUGAUCCACCCGCCUUGACCUCCCAAAGUGCUGGGAUUACAGGCAUGAGCCACCACGCCCAGGCCAGAUAUCCAUUUCUAUGGCAAACUCACUCCACUUCCUCUGCUGAUAACAUACAUACUGUCACUAAACUGUCAGUCAUCUUCUUGUUAACAAAUUAUGAACUUGCUUAAUGAGUGUAGCCUUUUUCACUCCGAUAGUCUCUUCAUUGAGCCAGCUGCUGGUCAGCUUCAUCUGUUCUUGACCUGGAUUUAUGAUCUGAGCGUUGACAAAAUUAUCUUUGUUUUUUUACUCUAGGAAAAUUUCUAAAAAGAAAAAAAAUUCUCAUAGCUGUCUUAUUAAUUUUUUUUUUCUUUUUUUUUAAACAGAGUUUCACUCUUGUUGCCCAGGCUAAAGUGCAAUGGCGCGAUCUCAGCUCACUGACACCUCUGUGCUCCCAGGUUCAAGUGAUUCUCCUGCCUCAGCCUCCCAAGUAGCUGGGAUUACAGGUUCCUGCCACCACAUCUGACUAAUUUUUUGUAUUUUUAGUAGAGACGGGGUUUCACCAUGUUGGCCAGGCUGGUCUCAAACUCCUGACCUCAGGAGAUCUGCCCACCUCGGCCUCCCAAAGUGUUGGGAUUACAGCCAUGAGCCACCACACCCGGCCCUUAUUAGAUCUUUACAAUGAUAAAUAUCAUUUUGUUUCAAAUUAAUACUCACUUUUGUGACUUUCCAUGACAACUCUGUAUUAUCUUCUUAGCAGAAAGGAGCAUUGCUUUAUUUAUUUCCUAAUAAAGCGUUUACUAUAGUGCCUCCUGUGUUGUGUUUUGUUUUGUUUCAGUGAUUGUUUUGCAUCUCACAUAUAUUAUCUCAUCUAAGUCACAUAGAAGCCUCAAACUUGGACAGAACCAAGAUGAGUAAAGUGGCCUGCAUCGUGUCAUGUAGCUAAGGAUGGACAGAAUUGGCUCUAGGCUCAGGGUUUCUGAUUUCACCUCUACUGAUGUCACAUUUACAGAAUUAUACUAAGGACUUAGAACCGGGAAGGGGUGCACUCGAAGUUGUUCUCUGACAAUGGAAACACCAAUUCCACGCACUCAUCUAGAAAUACUUGUUUGUUGAAAUAAUGGAAUUGGCAUUCUGUUUGUCCUCAUUCUUCUGGUCACCUAAAUAAAUGGUAAUAGAAGAUUAAGUCAUGGCCCAAAAAACUUAGGCCACAUUUCAUUUGCACCCAAACUUUGAGAGAUAAUUUGUUUUCACAUCAAAACUUUUUAUUCUUUUGCUCUGUCACCCAGGCUGGAGUGCAGUGGCACGUUCUCAGCUCACUGCAACCUCCGCCUUCCAGGUUCGAGCGAUCCUCCUGCCUCAGCCUCCCGAGUAGCUGGGACUACAGGCAUGUGCCACCAUGCCUGGUUAAUUUUUUGUAGUUUUAGUAGAGAUGGGGUUUCACUAUGUUGGCCAGAUUGGUCUCAAAUACCUUACCUCGUGAUCCACCUGCCUCAGCCUCUCAAAGUGUUGGGAUUACAGGUGUGAGCCACCGUGCCCAACCACAAUUAUAAUCAUUUUUACAUAUACAGUUCAGUGGAAGUAAGUACACUCAUGUUGUUAGACAACCAUCAUCUGUCUCCAGAAAUUUUAAAAAAUUUUUUAAAUUAUUUAUUUUUUAUUUUAUCAACUUUUAUUUUAAGUUCUGGGAUACGUGUGCAGGAUGUGCAGGUUUGUUACAUAGGUAAAUGUG